UGCCAUGACAAAUGCAGGACAUUCGAGA
This 28-nucleotide non-coding RNA is filed under the name Mus musculus (house mouse). The record is from RNAcentral. Lineage: Eukaryota; Metazoa; Chordata; Mammalia; Rodentia; Muridae.